GGCGUCACCUCAGCUCCCCCCGGCGGCGGAGCCGGCGGGCUCAGGCGGGCGCGGCUGAGGGGAGCGGACCGCGGGGGGCGGGAGAUGACUGCGCCCAAGGCCUUUGCGGGCCUCAGCCGGCCCCAGAGGAAGGGGAACCCGUCGAGCGGUUUGGGAGGUUCAGGAAGCCAUUCGUUCUUUCGCGUCUGCGGUGCCCGGAGUGUGGUACUUCUCCUAGUUGCAGUCAGGCUUCAUACGCUAUUGUCCUGCCCGUUAGAGCAGCCAGCGGGUACAGAAUGGAUUUUGGAAGAGGGAGUCACCACUGGACCUCCAAGGAAGCCACGUGCAGACAUCUACAACCUUCGAUCUCCUGACGAGUUUAUUGUUGGCCAAAACCAGGCUUUGAUUGAACCAGGAUGAAUGCGGGUGUUGGAAGUAGAAUAUAUAUAUACAUAUAAAAUUGGUUGGGAGCCACGUGUACCAGUGUGUGUUGAUCUUGGCUUGAUUCAGUCUGCCUUGUAACAGAAACUGGCGAUGGAAUAUGAGAGGAGCCCUCUGGAAAGAAAAGGACAGACCCUGUGCUUUCAUGAAAGUGAAGAUCUGGCUGAACCAGUUCCACAAGGUUACUGUAUACAUAGCCUGAGUUUAAAAGGCUGUGCCCACUUCAAGAAUGUCAUUGUUAGACUUUGAAAUUUCUAACUGCCUACCUGCAUAAAGAAAAUAAAAUCUUUUAAAUCAAA
RNAcentral lists this long non-coding RNA (719 nucleotides) under Homo sapiens (human). RNAcentral describes it as "HSALNT0401526". The stretch from base 357 to 443 matches the Rfam family "ZNFX1 antisense RNA 1 conserved region 3". The record is from RNAcentral. Lineage: Eukaryota; Metazoa; Chordata; Mammalia; Primates; Hominidae.